Molecule: transfer-messenger RNA, 350 nt
Filed under: Clostridiales bacterium
Lineage: Bacteria; Bacillati; Bacillota; Clostridia; Eubacteriales
Also listed under: 1 other name
Rfam family: transfer-messenger RNA
About the family: Bacterial tmRNA, also known as 10Sa RNA or SsrA, is named for its dual tRNA and mRNA-like properties. Its role is to liberate the mRNA from a stalled ribosome.
Source: RNAcentral
GGGGGUGCACUGGUUUCGACGGGGAUGGAUGAGCGUAUGGUAAGCGAGCCGCGGCCCCUGAACCGCGCAACAACGGGGAAAUAAAACAACUGACAACAAUCAGCAAUUAGCUUUCGCGGCUUAAUGCCGCGUCGUCGGCCUGAAGCGCUCACGGCUUGAGCAACCGGCGUCAUUGAUGUGAGGAACAGGUCUGCCUAAGCUUUGCGGCGGUACCGGUAUCAUGAAGCUACCAACCCCGGAAGCCUGCCUGCUGGCGUCCGGAAAAGGGAAUGUUAAAUAACAGGCUGUGCUCGGAGAAAACCAUAUGAGCAUGUCUUCGGACAGGGGUUCGAUUCCCCUCACCUCCACCA